CAGUCGCCGCGGUAAUACGUAGGGUGCAAGCGUUAAUCGGAAUUACUGGGCGUAAAGCGUGCGCAGGCGGUUGUGUAAGACAGGUGUGAAAUCCCCGGGCUUAACCUGGGAAUUGCAUUUGUGACUGCACGACUAGAGUGUGUCAGAGGGGGGUGGAAUUCCACGUGUAGCAGUGAAAUGCGUAGAUAUGUGGAGGAACACCAAUGGCGAAGGCAGCCCCCUGGGAUAACACUGACGCUCAUGCACGAAAGCGUGGGGAGCAAACAGGAUUAGAUACCCCGGUAGUCCCUGUCUCUUAUAA
Molecule: ribosomal RNA, 301 nt
Filed under: uncultured bacterium
Lineage: Bacteria
Description: partial 16S ribosomal RNA
Rfam family: Bacterial small subunit ribosomal RNA
Source: RNAcentral